This 403-nucleotide ribosomal RNA is filed under the name uncultured bacterium. RNAcentral's name for it is "partial 16S ribosomal RNA". It matches the Rfam family "Bacterial small subunit ribosomal RNA", at positions 30 to 526 of the family's 1533-position model. The record is from RNAcentral.
AUUGAACGCUGGCGGCAGGCCUAACACAUGCAAGUCGAGCGAGCGGCGGACGGGUGAGUAAUGUAUGGGGACUGACCGAUAGCGGGGGAUAACUACUGGAAACGGUAGCUAAUACCGCAUACUAUCGGAUAACCCAUAUGGGAUUAGCUAGUAGGUGAGGUAAUGGCUCACCUAGGCGACGAUCCGUAGCUGGUCUUAGCGGCUGAUCAGCCACCCGGGGACUGAGACACGGCCCAGACUCCUACGGAGGCAGCAUUGGGGAAGAUUGCACAAUGGGCGCAAGCCUGAUGCAGCCAUGCCGCGUGGAUGAAGAAGGCCCUAGGGUUGUAAAGUACUGUCAGUCGGGAGGCGUUACCGACAGAAGAAGCACCGGCUAACUCCGUGCCAGCAGCCGCGGUAAUUC